CGGGGUUAUGUUAAAAUUAGUAUGUCC
This 27-nucleotide non-coding RNA is filed under the name Rattus norvegicus (Norway rat). Lineage: Eukaryota; Metazoa; Chordata; Mammalia; Rodentia; Muridae. The record is from RNAcentral.